This 210-nucleotide long non-coding RNA is filed under the name Sus scrofa (pig). RNAcentral's name for it is "lncRNA (ENSSSCG00070004608.1)". The record is from RNAcentral. Lineage: Eukaryota; Metazoa; Chordata; Mammalia; Artiodactyla; Suidae.
CAAGUUGAUGAUGGCCUAUUGAGGGGAUCAUGGAGGCCUGGUGAUGCUUCCCUAAUUUCCUGUGUACUUUGUUUACUGGAUAUGACAUUAGAAUUUCAUGAAUCUCUUCACUGUACCAGUGAAGUACUGAGUUUGUCACUUGUGCCAUUUUUCUUAACUGGGAAGGAAAAAAAUAAUACACUCCUAAGGUUGAAAUGGACCAAAAAUUAG